UACGUAGGGGGCGAGCGUUGUCCGGAUUUAUUGGGCGUAAAGAGCGUGUAGGCGGCCAUUUAGGUCCGGUGUGAAAACUCGAGGCUUAACCUCGAGAUGUCAUCGGAAACCAUUUGGCUAGAGUCCGGAAGAGGAGAGUGGAAUUCCUGGUGUAGCGGUGAAAUGCGCAGAUAUCAGGAAGAACACCAAUGGCGAAAGCAGCUCUCUGGGACGGUACUGACGCUGAGACGCGAAAGCGUGGGGAGCGAACAGG
This 253-nucleotide ribosomal RNA is filed under the name uncultured bacterium. RNAcentral describes it as "partial 16S ribosomal RNA". It matches the Rfam family "Bacterial small subunit ribosomal RNA", at positions 524 to 776 of the family's 1533-position model. The record is from RNAcentral.